This 524-nucleotide ribosomal RNA is filed under the name Pluralibacter gergoviae. RNAcentral describes it as "bacterial SSU rRNA". It matches the Rfam family "Bacterial small subunit ribosomal RNA", at positions 8 to 521 of the family's 1533-position model. Lineage: Bacteria; Pseudomonadati; Pseudomonadota; Gammaproteobacteria; Enterobacterales; Enterobacteriaceae. The record is from RNAcentral.
AGAGUUUGAUCCUGGCUCAGAUUGAACGCUGGCGGCAGGCCUAACACAUGCAAGUCGAACGGUAGCAGGAAGAAGCUUGCUUCUUUGCUGACGAGUGGCGGACGGGUGAGUAAUGUCUGGGAAACUGCCCGAUGGAGGGGGAUAACUACUGGAAACGGUAGCUAAUACCGCAUAACGUCUUCGGACCAAAGAGGGGGACCUUCGGGCCUCUUGCCAUCGGAUGUGCCCAGAUGGGAUUAGCUAGUAGGUGGGGUAACGGCUCACCUAGGCGACGAUCCCUAGCUGGUCUGAGAGGAUGACCAGCCACACUGGAACUGAGACACGGUCCAGACUCCUACGGGAGGCAGCAGUGGGGAAUAUUGCACAAUGGGCGCAAGCCUGAUGCAGCCAUGCCGCGUGUAUGAAGAAGGCCUUCGGGUUGUAAAGUACUUUCAGCGGGGAGGAAGGGAGUGAGGUUAAUAACCUCAUUCAUUGACGUUACCCGCAGAAGAAGCACCGGCUAACUCCGUGCCAGCAGCCGCGGU